GUUGGUGGGGUAACGGCCUACCAAGGCAACGAUGCGUAGCCGACCUGAGAGGGUGAUCGGCCACAUUGGGACUGAGACACGGCCCAAACUCCUACGGGAGGCAGCAGUAGGGAAUCUUCCGCAAUGGACGAAAGUCUGACGGAGCAACGCCGCGUGAGUGAUGAAGGUCUUCGGAUCGUAAAACUCUGUUGUCAGGGAAGAACAAGUGCCAUUUGAAUAAGGUGGCACCUUGACGGUACCUGACCAGAAAGCCCCGGCUAACUACGUGCCAGCAGCCGCGGUAAUACGUAGGGGGCAAGCGUUGUCCGGAAUUAUUGGGCGUAAAGCGCGCGCAGGCGGUCCUUUAAGUCUGAUGUGAAAGCCCACGGCUUAACCGUGGAGGGUCAUUGGAAACUGGGGGACUUGAGUGCAGAAGAGGAGAGUGGAAUUCCAUGUGUAGCGGUGAAAUGCGUAGAGAUAUGGAGGAACACCAGUGGCGAAGGCGACUCUCUGGUCUGUAACUGACGCUGAGGCGCGAAAGCGUGGGUAGCGAACAGGAUUAGAUACCCUGGUAGUCCACGCCGUAAACGAUGAGUGCUAGGUGUUAGGGGGUUUCCGCCCCUUAGUGCUGAAGUUAACGCAUUAAGCACUCCGC
This 634-nucleotide ribosomal RNA is filed under the name uncultured Bacillota bacterium. RNAcentral's name for it is "bacterial SSU rRNA". It matches the Rfam family "Bacterial small subunit ribosomal RNA", at positions 248 to 872 of the family's 1533-position model. The record is from RNAcentral. Lineage: Bacteria; Bacillati; Bacillota.